This 77-nucleotide transfer RNA is filed under the name Oscillatoria sp. FACHB-1407. RNAcentral describes it as "tRNA-Leu". It matches the Rfam family "tRNA". Rfam says of the family: Transfer RNA (tRNA) molecules are approximately 80 nucleotides in length. Their secondary structure includes four short double-helical elements and three loops (D, anti-codon, and T loops). Lineage: Bacteria; Bacillati; Cyanobacteriota; Cyanophyceae; Oscillatoriales; Oscillatoriaceae. The record is from RNAcentral.
GCUGCUGUAGCCCAACGGUCAGAGGUGCUGGUCUUAGAAACCAGAGGUUGUGGGUUCAACUCCCACCAGCAGUACCA